Long non-coding RNA from Triticum aestivum (bread wheat), 1030 nucleotides. RefSeq lists it as uncharacterized. The transcript has 2 exons. NCBI's taxonomy places the organism in Eukaryota, Viridiplantae, Streptophyta, Magnoliopsida, Poales, Poaceae. The record is from RefSeq and is a predicted model, not a curated record.
UUUUUCAUCUAUGUUUUUGUGAGCUAAACGAUGUUAGUGUUUUAUAGUUCACUUGCAAUUCUUUUUGAAAAUCCAAGUUCCCUCAUCAUAUUUGAGCAGUCAAGGUAAAUCCAACAUGGAAUUUUUGAGUUUUUUAUUCUUAGUACGUGAUGCAAUAGUCGCUACGAAGAUAUAAUUCAUGCCAGCCAUUUAUUACUAAAAGCAGAAGAAUCCUACUUCUUGAAUUUAUAUUCCAAUAGUCUGCUUCAGUCACUACCAAGAUUUAACUUAUGUUUUGGCACACUCUUGACAGGCCCGUUGAGAAGGGUGUGCGAGCGGUGCGACCGCACAGGUCCCAAAAUCGUAGAGGCCCCGAUCGGUGAAAAAAACAUAUACGAUCCGGUUCAUGCGCUGGAUGGCUGGUUUUUUAGCUGGCUCGUGUUAUCCUAUCGCAACAAAACUGCAGACGGAUGCACCAGAAGCGGAAACUCAUUACGUUGAGGCCCCUAGUUCCACUAAUCGCAGCCAAUAGGGCCCAGCCGGAUGUACGAGAUCAAAUAGAUAUGUCUCAGUCUUGGGAAAAAACAACUUCACGAAUAGGGAGGCCCGUCUACCUCCUUCUAGGAACGGACGAGCCGCCGAUGGAUGGCGGAACGCCACGGCGAGUCCGCUGUACUGCCCUCCGUCGCCGGAUGUAUCCCUGCUGCGGCAGCCUCAUUUGGUCAUCCCCGAAUAUAUUCCUAGGCUUUUGAUGUCGUGGAUGGUAAAUGAGCAAAACAUACCAACUCAUUAUGUCCCAGAUUUAAGGCAUCCCUGUUUAGUGACUCCAUCCUGAUUCAGCUGGCUACAACACUUGAUCUGGCUGGAUGUCCACUAGAUUGUGGCUGCAGUGUGAAUUGUUUUCUUUCUUUUUUGGCUGUGAAUUCAUGCGUGGUUUGAUGGUAUGCCAUCUUCUCUGGACACAAUAGCUAAAAGCCCAUGGAAACAAAGCCAAGUGGUCAGUGGAAGUACUUUCUUGGAAGAAACAAAUGAAUCAUAGUUAUUUGCUUUC